ACUUAUUACUUCAGCAUCAGAAACUAAGACUAAAUUGUUCUCUUCAGAAAACCAUAUUGUCUGCAGAUUGACUUUCUAUUUCCGUGCAGCACGAGAAACAAAUCAACAUAAAAAUCUAGCUCCAAGAUCAAGGCUGAGAGAAAACAGAUUGGUCUGUCCACUUUUCCAAAUACAAGGCAAGAGACAAAUAAGAAAGAAUAAUCCCCACAAGAACCUCGAUCCUUCUCUCUUGAUUCUGUGAUUUUUCCUUUUUUUGGCUAUCCAGUCGUCUACCGGCGAGAAAGAUUCAGAGAUCCCACAAGAGAGAUGAAGAAGAUGAGAGAAAGGACCCUCUGAGUCUGAGAUGGUUGUGCUAAAAAAGAGAGGUUGAGGAGAGUGAAGACAAAGAUCUUAGUCUUCUGAGAGCAAAAUCGACCGUGG
RNAcentral lists this unclassified non-coding RNA (420 nucleotides) under Hevea brasiliensis (rubber tree). Lineage: Eukaryota; Viridiplantae; Streptophyta; Magnoliopsida; Malpighiales; Euphorbiaceae. The record is from RNAcentral.